ACUUUGGUGGUUCAGUGGCAGAAUUCCUGCCUUUCAUGCAGGAGACCUGAGUCCAAUUCCUGGCCAAUGCA
Molecule: transfer RNA, 71 nt
Filed under: Loxodonta africana (African savanna elephant)
Lineage: Eukaryota; Metazoa; Chordata; Mammalia; Proboscidea; Elephantidae
Rfam family: tRNA
About the family: Transfer RNA (tRNA) molecules are approximately 80 nucleotides in length. Their secondary structure includes four short double-helical elements and three loops (D, anti-codon, and T loops). Further hydrogen bonds mediate the characteristic L-shaped molecular structure. tRNAs have two regions of fundamental functional importance: the anti-codon, which is responsible for specific mRNA codon recognition, and the 3' end, to which the tRNAs corresponding amino acid is attached (by aminoacyl-tRNA synthetases). tRNAs cope with the degeneracy of the genetic code in two manners: having more than one tRNA (with a specific anti-codon) for a particular amino acid; and 'wobble' base-pairing, i.e. permitting non-standard base-pairing at the 3rd anti-codon position.
Source: Rfam by way of RNAcentral